This is a long non-coding RNA of Dermacentor andersoni, 1065 nucleotides long. RefSeq lists it as uncharacterized. The record is from RefSeq and is a predicted model, not a curated record. NCBI's taxonomy places the organism in Eukaryota, Metazoa, Arthropoda, Arachnida, Ixodida, Ixodidae.
CAUCCCCAUUAGCUUCUAUGGCAGUCGAUCAAGGUAGCAUGACGUCAUCGAUCGAAAUGCGCAGGUAUUGUGCUAGCUGAGAGGCGUUGGCAGAGCGGACGAAAGGGAACACCUGCUGUCACACUAGCGCGCAAGUGCUGUGUGAGGGUAGAGGGCAUCGCCAUUGGGUGGACAGUGCGGCUAGUUUCGGUAUUGGCAAUAAAGCGUCGCCAUGACACCGGUAUCCAAAGCAAAACUCAAUAACUUUUGCAUAUGUAGCUCUAUCUUUUCAAACUACGUGACAAUAAAAUGAAGUGAUGCAAUUAUGGUAGAAAUAAGAUGUGCUUCUGGCUAUUUUCUUUUUCGGUAUCAUAUUUUUAUUUUGCCGCUUCAUUUGUUGCGCCAAUGGGCGGCGCUAUCGCUCUUAUCGCUUCGGCGGCCAUUCCCGUAGUCUGCACCUGCCGCUUUCUAUGCACGUGCACGUUUUUUCCAUAUGCUUUGUAGUUUAAAACUUUCUUUCUGUGCCUGCGAAUGUUCAGGUAAUGUCAGAAAAACUGAGGAAAGGAUACAAGGCUUGCUGUGCGGCUGUGUGAGGUGGCAACUCGGGGAGCAGCACGAGGACAAAAUAUUUCCGUUUCCCAGCGGACGAGAGGGAAGCACACUUCUUCUGUAAUCGUUAUGAAGAAACAAGCGCUGCGCUCAUCAAAACAGCUAUGUGACAUAUGGCGAACUUACGCUAAAUAAGGUAGAAAUUUGGCGGCCAUGGGAACAGAUGUACAACCGCUACGGCCUGUGCUCGGACCGACCCUAUCGUGGUCAGUGCUCGAGUGGAAGAGCGGUCCCUGAUCCAUGAGGAGUGUGGCCUACCAAGCACCAGGGGAGAACUUGGUGCUUGUGACGCUAUUCCCGUAUACCUGGGUGGUAUACCAGCUCACCUAGCCGUGCAUCACCCCGACGCGUCACCCAGUCAUGAGAUUGCAUUUCAAAAUUGGUUCAAAGUCAUUGUGGCAUACUUGGAAUACAAUGAGCAGGCGAUUUGACGAAAUAUUUGCACGAACAUGGAGAAUACACCAGUCUGCUGUUCUA